UACGAAGGGGGCUAGCGUUGUUCGGAAUUACUGGGCGUAAAGCGUAUGCAGGCGGAUCGUUAAGUCGGGGGUGAAAUCCCGAGGCUCAACCUCGGAACUGCCUUCGAUACUGGCGACCUUCGAGUCCGGGAGAGGUGAGUGGAACUCCGAGUGUAGAGGUGAAAUUCGUAGAUAUUCGGAAGAACACCAGUGGCGAAGGCGACUACCUGGCCUGUUCUUGACGCUGAGGCGCGAAAGCUAGGGGAGCAAACGGG
Molecule: ribosomal RNA, 254 nt
Filed under: uncultured bacterium
Lineage: Bacteria
Description: partial 16S ribosomal RNA
Rfam family: Bacterial small subunit ribosomal RNA
Source: RNAcentral